CAGUCGCCACGGUAAUACGGAGGGAGCUAGCGUUGUUCGGAAUUACUGGGCGUAAAGCGCGCGUAGGCGGUUACUCAAGUCAGAGGUGAAAGCCCGGGGCUCAACCCCGGAACUGCCUUUGAAACUAGGUGACUAGAAUCUUGGAGAGGUCAGUGGAAUUCCGAGUGUAGAGGUGAAAUUCGUAGAUAUUCGGAAGAACACCAGUGGCGAAGGCGACUGACUGGACAAGUAUUGACGCUGAGGUGCGAAAGCGUGGGGAGCAAACAGGAUUAGAUACCCGAGUAGUCCCUGUCUCUUAUAA
This 301-nucleotide ribosomal RNA is filed under the name uncultured bacterium. RNAcentral describes it as "partial 16S ribosomal RNA". It matches the Rfam family "Bacterial small subunit ribosomal RNA", at positions 509 to 809 of the family's 1533-position model. The record is from RNAcentral.